RNAcentral lists this long non-coding RNA (678 nucleotides) under Rattus norvegicus (Norway rat). RNAcentral describes it as "long non-coding RNA NONRATT003627". Lineage: Eukaryota; Metazoa; Chordata; Mammalia; Rodentia; Muridae. The record is from RNAcentral.
GAAAUCCCAGCACUCAGGAGGCCAAGCCAGACUUUGACUGGCUCUACAGCCCGAGCUAUGCAGUGAGAGCCUGUCUCCAACAAACUAAUAGAAACCUGCAUCGGACACACUCUGACACUCAGGAAAGACUUUCCGACGAAGACAAACCUGCCUUUCAGAACAGCUCUAAAUAGAGGCAGCAGGCCAGAGGAAGAAACCAUAUUGCUCCCCCACCACUCACCAAAUUCAGGUCACAGCCCCACCCACCCUCCUUCUCAAGUCAACGCACCAGUGCUCUCUCUGAACACCUUACCUCCAACCAGUUUGCCUCUAGCUCCAUUAUUUGUAACAAAACAGUUCUCUUCUGCAGUGAAAAGGAAAGAUAAAGAGUACACACCAAUCCCACACUUGGUUUUUGCAGAGCCAAGCUCGGAUCCUCUACAGAAGGAGUCUCCUCGGUUGCGUGGGGGAGGGGACACACUUUUUAUUCUGCACUGAAAGAACUGUGACUGGGAGCGUGUGUGAGCAUCAGACGGACUCUUCCCCCUUGAGGUGUGGUGGCGCUCAUCUUUAACCUCGGUAGACAGAGGCAGGAGGAUCUCUUUGAGUUCGAAGCCACAUGAAAGAGAGAGCAAGAAAUAAAGAAGGGAGGGAGGGAGAAAAAAGAAGAAAGAAAAAAAAAAGAAAAACUAACAACUC